GAUGAACGCUGGCGGCGUGCCUAAUACAUGCAAGUCGAGCGAACAGAUUUGGAGCUUGCUCUUCUGACGUUAGUGGCGGACGGGUGAGUAAUACGUGGAUAACCUACCUUUAAGACUGGGAUAACUUUGGGAAACCGGAGCUAAUACUGGAUAAUAUAUGUCACCGCAUGGUUCUAUAUUGAAAGACGGUUUUGCUUUUUCUUAUAGCUGGAUCCGUGUCGCAUUAGCUAGUUGGUAAGGUAACGGCUUACCAAGGCAACGAAGGGUAGCCGAACUGAAAGGGUGGUAGGCCACACUGGAACUGAGACACGGUCCAGGCUACUAAGGGAGGCACCAGUAGGGAAUCUGACGCAAUGGGCGAGAGCAUGACGGAGCAACGCGGCGUGAGAGAUGAAGGUCUUCGGAUCGUGAAAAUCGGUUAUUGGGGAAGAACAAAUGUGUAAGUAGAAAUGCACGUAGUGACGGUACCUAAUCAAAAAGCCACGGCUAACUACGUG
Molecule: ribosomal RNA, 497 nt
Filed under: uncultured bacterium
Lineage: Bacteria
Description: partial 16S ribosomal RNA
Rfam family: Bacterial small subunit ribosomal RNA
Source: RNAcentral